RNAcentral lists this ribosomal RNA (315 nucleotides) under Triticum aestivum (bread wheat). RNAcentral describes it as "partial small subunit ribosomal RNA". Lineage: Eukaryota; Viridiplantae; Streptophyta; Magnoliopsida; Poales; Poaceae. The record is from RNAcentral.
AUGUCGACGUCGGUGUCGACGUGCCAGCGGCGCCAGACGGGUAGGUCCAUGCUAACACCGGCGUGGAUGAGCUGGCGGCGGCCACCUCCGGUGACUUCGUCGUUCAUGUGGCCCGCGCCGCCUGCCACCUCGUUGGCCAGCAUCCUGCCGGCCACCGCGGUGGGCAUGACGGAGCUCAGUUGCAGGACGACGCCGACCAGGACAAGGAGCAGCACCGUGUUCCGAGCACCGGAGGCCAUCGAUCGAUCGCCGCUGGUCUGGCCUGGCCGGUGGAAUGAGGAGCUUGCUUUGAUUCUAAGUACUUCGUUACACUAG